GACGAACGCUGGCGGCGUGCCUAAUACAUGCAAGUCGAGCGAAGUUUUUCUGGUGCUUGCACUAGAAAAACUUAGCGGCGAACGGGUGAGUAACACGUAAAGAACCUGCCUCAUAGACUGGGACAACUAUUGGAAACGAUAGCUAAUACCGGAUAACAGCAUUAACUGCAUGGUUGAUGUUUAAAAGUUGGUUUUGCUAACACUAUGAGAUGGCUUUGCGGUGCAUUAGCUAGUUGGUGGGGUAAAGGCCUACCAAGGCGACGAUGCAUAGCCGACCUGAGAGGGUGAUCGGCCACACUGGGACUGAGACACGGCCCAGACUCCUACGGGAGGCAGCAGUAGGGAAUCUUCCGCAAUGGGCGAAAGCCUGACGGAGCAACGCCGCGUGAGUGAAGAAGGAUUUCGGUUCGUAAAGCUCUGUUGUUAGGGAAGAAUGAUUGUGUAGUAACUAUACACAGUAGAGACGGUACCUAACCAGAAAGCCACGC
This 488-nucleotide ribosomal RNA is filed under the name Gemella haemolysans. RNAcentral describes it as "bacterial SSU rRNA". It matches the Rfam family "Bacterial small subunit ribosomal RNA", at positions 28 to 496 of the family's 1533-position model. Lineage: Bacteria; Bacillati; Bacillota; Bacilli; Caryophanales; Gemellaceae. The record is from RNAcentral.